This 1124-nucleotide long non-coding RNA is filed under the name Theobroma cacao (cacao). RNAcentral's name for it is "long non-coding RNA (TCAC_LNC002457)". The record is from RNAcentral. Lineage: Eukaryota; Viridiplantae; Streptophyta; Magnoliopsida; Malvales; Malvaceae.
UGACAAAAGUAAAGAGAUAGUACCCGAGAAUCAAGAAUCGGAGUACUUGGAAUUCGACUCUCGAAAUAGUGAGUAACCUUAUCAUCAUCUUAAUUAUCUAAAGUAUGUUUUAUCUGAUUUUGUAAAUUUUAUGGAAAAUGAAUUAAAUGAUUAAUUUUUUGAUUUUAUAAACAAAAUGUGAUUUUAUGAAAUGAUUUCAUAGAAUUGUUUUAAAAUUGAAUGAUGGUUUGAAAAUAGAGUAAUUGGAGAUUGUUUUUGUUGGUUGUAAAUUCAUGAUUCUAAUUGAUUGGCUUAUGGCAAUAUUGGCAUGAAUGGUUGAUUUGAUAAAUGUGUUGGAAAUGUAUAAAUUGUUGAUUUACCUUGAAAGGCCGUAAAACAAAAUAAAACAAUUGCCAUGUCAUGUUGUUGAAUUUUAUUGUAUGGUGGGUUUAACUUGCUGCAGUGGGCGGGUUUUCUGUAGACCAGCCUAUUAGAGGGGCACGAAAUCCCAUUAUAUUUUACCUCGGUUGGAGAGGCGAGUAGGGUAACUCCCAAGGUAUAACUUUAGAGUUCACUUCAUGCCAAACCACCACGUGAGGGUGAACUCAGCCAACGCCAAGGAACGACUAUGUUUUCAAAAUAAAAACAUGAUUUAUGCGUACAUGACUUUUUAACAGCCUUGGCGGACUCGGUUGGGAUAGUCCUCAUCAAGGCAUCCCUGAUAACUGGGUAUGAGAAUAAUUUUGGCACGAGCCAAAGUUUUAAGAAAUUCAUAAGCCAUGUUGAUUACUAUAUUUAUAUGAAUUGAUUUUAUUUGGUUGAAACAAGUUAAAAAGUGAUGAAUUACAGUAUCUUAAACUAUUUUAUCUGUCUCUAUUUACUAGGAUUUAGAUAUUUUAGAUGGUAUUUGUUUAUUCACUAGGAUUAUAUAAUCUCACUACCCUUAUUUCCACCCAUUUCAGGCUUAGGAUAGUCUAUAGAUAGCUGAUUUCAUCAAGGACCACCAUUGGAUUUGCAUCCUCCAAACUGUAGGUUCACAAUCUUUCUUACUUUUGGUUAUUUGAGGGCCCACUUGUUACUGUAAAUUAAAUUAAAUACUCUGGCUUAUUGUAUUAUAAUAUAUAUGAAUUUAUUUUGCUUUUGCG